Molecule: ribosomal RNA, 995 nt
Filed under: uncultured bacterium
Lineage: Bacteria
Description: bacterial SSU rRNA
Rfam family: Bacterial small subunit ribosomal RNA
Source: RNAcentral
GGGGAAUAUUGCACAAUGGGGGAAACCCUGAUGCAGCGAUGCCGCGUGGAGGAAGAAGGUUUUCGGAUUGUAAACUCCUGUUGAAGAGGACGAUAAUGACGGUACUCUUUUAGAAAGCUCCGGCUAACUACGUGCCAGCAGCCGCGGUAAUACGUAGGGAGCGAGCGUUGUCCGGAAUUACUGGGUGUAAAGGGAGCGUAGGCGGGAUGGCAAGUCAGAUGUGAAAACUAUGGGCUCAACCCAUAGACUGCUUUCAAAACUGUUUUUCUUGAGUAGUGCAGAGGUAGGCGGAAUUCCCGGUGUAGCGGUGGAAUGCGUAGAUAUCGGGAGGAACACCAGUGGCGAAGGCGGCCUACUGGGCACCAACUGACGCUGAGGCUCGAAAGUGUGGGUAGCAAACAGGAUUAGAUACCCUGGUAGUCCACACCGUAAACGAUGAUUACUAGGUGUUGGAGGAUUGACCCCUUCAGUGCCGCAGUUAACACAAUAAGUAAUCCACCUGGGGAGUACGACCGCAAGGUUGAAACUCAAAGGAAUUGACGGGGGCCCGCACAAGCAGUGGAGUAUGUGGUUUAAUUCGACGCAACGCGAAGAACCUUACCAAGUCUUGACAUCCUGCGACGCACAUAGAAAUAUGUGUUUCCUUCGGGACGCAGAGACAGGUGGUGCAUGGUUGUCGUCAGCUCGUGUCGUGAGAUGUUGGGUUAAGUCCCGCAACGAGCGCAACCCUUAUGGUCAGUUACUACGCAAGAGGACUCUGGCCAGACUGCCGUUGACAAAACGGAGGAAGGUGGGGAUGACGUCAAAUCAUCAUGCCCUUUAUGACUUGGGCUACACACGUACUACAAUGGCGUUAAACAAAGAGAAGCAAGACCGCGAGGUGGAGCAAAACUCAGAAACAACGUCCCAGUUCGGACUGCAGGCUGCAACUCGCCUGCACGAAGUCGGAAUUGCUAGUAAUCGUGGAUCAGCAUGCCACGGUGAAUACGUUCCCG